This 329-nucleotide unclassified non-coding RNA is filed under the name soil metagenome. Its description in RNAcentral is "partial contains 5.8S ribosomal RNA, internal transcribed spacer 2, and large subunit ribosomal RNA". The stretch from base 1 to 120 matches the Rfam family "5.8S ribosomal RNA", at positions 35 to 154 of the family's 154-position model. The record is from RNAcentral.
GAUGAAGAACGCAGCGAAAUGCGAUAAGUAAUGUGAAUUGCAGAAUUCAGUGAAUCAUCGAAUCUUUGAACGCACAUUGCGCCCCUUGGUAUUCCGAGGGGCAUGCCUGUUCGAGCGUCAUUAUGACCACUCAAGCCUCGGCUUGGUAUUGGGGUUCCGCGGUCUCGCGGCCCUUAAAAUCAGUGGCGGUGCCGUCUGGCUCUAAGCGUAGUAAUUCUCUCGCUAUAGGGUUCCGACGGUUACUUGCCAGCAACCCCCAACCUCUCACGGUUGACCUCGGAUCAGGUAGGGAUACCCGCUGAACUUAAGCAUAUCAAUAAGCGGAGGGA